RNAcentral lists this ribosomal RNA (87 nucleotides) under Vibrio alginolyticus. Its description in RNAcentral is "partial 16S ribosomal RNA". It matches the Rfam family "Bacterial small subunit ribosomal RNA", at positions 1447 to 1533 of the family's 1533-position model. The record is from RNAcentral. Lineage: Bacteria; Pseudomonadati; Pseudomonadota; Gammaproteobacteria; Vibrionales; Vibrionaceae. RNAcentral also lists the same sequence under 3 other names.
GGGACGCUUACCACUUUGUGGUUCAUGACUGGGGUGAAGUCGUAACAAGGUAGCGCUAGGGGAACCUGGCGCUGGAUCACCUCCUUA